GAUGAACGCUAGCGGGAGGCCUAACACAUGCAAGCCGAGCGGUAUUGUUUCUUCGGAAAUGAGAGAGCGGCGUACGGGUGCGGAACACGUGUGCAACCUGCCUUUAUCUGGGGGAUAGCCUUUCGAAAGGAAGAUUAAUACUCCAUAAUAUAUUGAACGGCAUCGUUUAAUAUUGAAAGCUCCGGCGGAUAGAGAUGGGCACGCGCAAGAUUAGCUAGUUGGUGAGGUAACGGCUCACCAAGGCGAUGAUCUUUAGGGGGCCUGAGAGGGUGAUCCCCCACACUGGUACUGAGACACGGACCAGACUCCUACGGGAGGCAGCAGUGAGGAAUAUUGGUCAAUGGGUGCAAGCCUGAACCAGCCAUCCCGAGUGAAGGACGACUGCCCUAUGGGUUGUAAACUUCUUUUGUAUAGGGAUAAACCUACCCUCGUGAGGGUAGCUGAAGGUACUAUACGAAUAAGCACCGGCUAACUCCGUGCCAGCAGCCGCGGUAAUACGGAGGGUGCAAGCGUUAUCCGGAUUUAUUGGGUUUAAAGGGUCCGUAGGCGGACUUAUAAGUCAGUGGUGAAAGCCUGUCGCUUAACGAUAGAACUGCCAUUGAUACUGUAAGUCUUGAGUAUAUUUGAGGUAGCUGGAAUAAGUAGUGUAGCGGUGAAAUGCAUAGAUAUUACUUAGAACACCAAUUGCGAAGGCAGGUUACCAAGAUAUAACUGACGCUGAGGGACGAAAGCGUGGGGAGCGAACAGGAUUAGAUACCCUGGUAGUCCACGCCGUAAACGAUGCUAACUCGUUUUUGGGCUUUAGGGUUCAGAGACCAAGCGAAAGUGAUAAGUUAGCCACCUGGGGGGUACGCUCGCAGGAGUGAAACUCAAAGGAAUUGACGGGGGCCCGCACAAGCGGUGGAUUAUGUGGUUUAAUUCGAUGAUACGCGAGGAACCUUACCAAGACUUAAAUGGGAAUUGACAGCUUUAGAAAUAGAGCUUUCUUCGGACAAUUUUCAAGGUGCUGCAUGGUUGUCGUCAGCUCGUGCCGUGAGGUGUUAGGUUAAGUCCUGCAACGAGCGCAACCCCUGUCACUAGUUGCCAUCAUUCAGUUGGGGACUCUAGUGAGACUGCCUACGCAAGUAGAGAGGAAGGUGGGGAUGACGUCAAAUCAUCACGGCCCUUACGUCUUGGGCCACACACGUAAUACAAUGGCCGGUACAGAGGGCAGCUACACAGCGAUGUGAUGCAAAUCUCGAAAGCCGGUCUCAGUUCGGAUUGGAGUCUGCAACUCGACUCUAUGAAGCUGGAAUCGCUAGUAAUCGCGCAUCAGCCAUGGCGCGGUGAAUACGUUCCCGGGCCU
RNAcentral lists this ribosomal RNA (1345 nucleotides) under uncultured bacterium. RNAcentral's name for it is "bacterial SSU rRNA". It matches the Rfam family "Bacterial small subunit ribosomal RNA", at positions 28 to 1381 of the family's 1533-position model. The record is from RNAcentral.